Non-coding RNA from Pimephales promelas (fathead minnow), 662 nucleotides. The record is from RefSeq and is a predicted model, not a curated record. Lineage: Eukaryota; Metazoa; Chordata; Actinopteri; Cypriniformes; Leuciscidae.
AUAAAAAUAAAAUAAACACCAAGCUGACAAGAGCAGGAAUAUAGCAUUUAGAAAAAAAGAGAAAAAAAGAACACAAAUAGAUAAAUAAUUUAAACCAGUGAACGCUGCAAAUUAAGCCCUAAAACGGAUGUAUCUAAAUGGAUGACUCACUUCUUAUUUUGGUCCAUUUUAGAUUUGUAUUGAGUGGUGUGAAUAAGAAUAAUGCAUCUUGAGGACUACUGCAGUCACAAGAACAUUUUAAGGAUGUGAUUAGGGCUUUUAGGUUUUAUCCUCACUGUCAUUCUAAAGGUUUGUAUAAUGAUCAUGCCUAUUCAAUCUGAUUUCCGCUUCUUUGACCUAUGAUAUGUCAGCUGAUUUUGUGUUGAGAGUUACAGGUGCUGCUGGAUGCUGGAAAACUGACAGGCUGACCACUCACCAGGCCCACCAGCACCCUCUGCUGUUGGUCUUCCUCCUGAAACAGUGGAACUACACGCCUAUCUGAAAGGACGGAAAGAAGAUUCUAUAUGUAGGAACUGAAAAAUAAGCUGUGUGGGGACUGACAAGCUUUAAGUGAAAGAAACAUCCUGUCCUAAAAGCUCUAUCACAGGAUUUGGCUGCAGGUAGACCAGCAUGCAGUGCAGGGCAGCGAGCCGUUGGGCCUCAGGCCUGUCUGAACUGAGAAG